UACGAACUGUGCGAACGUUAUUCGGAAUCACUGGGCUUACAGGGUGCGUAGGCGGCCCGACAAGUCAGGUGUGAAAGCCCUCGGCUCAACCGAGGAACUGCGCUUGAAACUGUUGGGCUCGAGUCAGCUAGAGGUGCACGGAACUUCCAGUGGAGCGGUGAAAUGUGUUGAUAUUGGAAGGAACACCGGAGGCGAAAGCGGUGCGCUGGGGCUGGUCUGACGCUGAGGCACGAAAGCCAGGGGAGCGAACGGG
This 253-nucleotide ribosomal RNA is filed under the name uncultured bacterium. Its description in RNAcentral is "partial 16S ribosomal RNA". It matches the Rfam family "Bacterial small subunit ribosomal RNA", at positions 524 to 776 of the family's 1533-position model. The record is from RNAcentral.